RNA transcript from Eurytemora carolleeae, 1265 nucleotides. It is a transcript of the gene named protein rtoA, with no coding region annotated. The record is from RefSeq and is a predicted model, not a curated record. NCBI's taxonomy places the organism in Eukaryota, Metazoa, Arthropoda, Copepoda, Calanoida, Temoridae. The transcript is spliced from 3 exons.
UACAUAGAUUCAGACUUCCCAGCCUUUAUAGGGUUAAGAUUGUUACAUCUUUUCUGUUUUUGUAUUCUUUGUAGAUUCUCUAAAAUGAUUAAAAGUUUCCCCCCUGUCCAGAUUGAAUUGUUAAAAAUAGAACUGUCUGCUUGAUAAAAACAUUAAAUAUAUUAAGUAAUAAAUUCAAAAGAUUAUUAGAUUUGCACACUGCUUAGCCACUGAAACCCCGUUUUAUUUAAAGUACCGGCCCGCCUCUUAGGCAGCUAGAGCUAGCUGUACAGAGUACAUGUAUAUGUCAACACGGGUAAGUACAACAAAUAAAUUAUCUUCUUCUAGUCAGAGGAUUGAGCAUCUAAUCUGAAGUGGUAAUUUCCGGAAUCUGGGCUUUUUCAAAACAUCCUUGUUCCAACUUUACAGUCACUUCAAAUCCAAUCAGGUUUCCCUCGAGUGCUUAGUGCUCGGAUGGAAACAAUGAGGCAAGUUUUCCCUUAUCUUGGUCCAACAGCUUCCAAAGUUCUCCUUUAGAUUACAGUAACAACUGCGCACAACGAUGCAGUUCAGACGUAAGAAGUAGUUUCAACUCCAGCUUUAAUGGCAGUCACAGCUCUGGUUCCAAUAGCAGUAACAAAUCUGGUUUCAAUAGUAGUCACAGCUCUGGUUUCAAUAGCAGUAACAGUUUCAGCUUCAAUACAGGUCAUCACUCAAGUGGUCAAAGUAACAGUUGUUGGGGGAAAUCUGGGAGCAGUUGGAACAGUUCUGGAAACUCUGGAAGCAAUUUAAUGAAUUCCUCUAGAUAUUCUCCAUGUUCCUGCACAGUGGAUCCACCGCUCACCACAGGAAAUGUUAAAUUCUCUGGAAUGAGUCUGGCCGAUCUGACACAGGUUACAAUAAACCAGGAGAUGGGUAAGUUUCAGCCCAGCUAUGCCCUUGAUCUCACCCAAGGGGCCCUUAACCUUUCUGGUUCAAGAAGAUGAGUCCGUAGAAGAAACUAAGCGUAUCUGGGUCCCGAAUGGGUCAUUCUACUGUGUUACUGGUCCAAGAAUCAUUCCAAGAAAUGAGUCUCGUUAGGCUUGUUCUGAUUCCUUCUAUGUCAAAACAUGUUUAACUAGCCUACGAUAUGAAUCAAAUUCAAAACCACUGCCUGGCACUUUAAUUCAUUCAUUUAACGUACUGUCCUGGUUUGCCAUACACGUCUGUGCGUGUACAGUACAGCUUGCAUUAGCUCGUUAAAUCUGUUAUAAUUGUAUUGAAUAUUGUUUAAAUAAAAAAAUGAA